AGGAGUGUAGCCCAGUGGUAGGGCACUCGCAUAACACGUGUGAGGCCCUGGGUUCAAUCCCCAGCACCCCCC
Molecule: transfer RNA, 72 nt
Filed under: Heterocephalus glaber (naked mole-rat)
Lineage: Eukaryota; Metazoa; Chordata; Mammalia; Rodentia; Bathyergidae
Rfam family: tRNA
About the family: Transfer RNA (tRNA) molecules are approximately 80 nucleotides in length.
Source: Rfam by way of RNAcentral